GUCUCUCUUGAGUGGAUCCUGAGUACGACGGAGCACGUGAAAUUCCGUCGGAAUCUGGGAGGACCAUCUCCUAAGGCUAAAUACUCUCUAGUGACCGAUAGUGAACCAGUACCGUGAGGGAAAGGUGAAAAGCACCCCGGAAGGGGAGUGAAAUAGAACCUGAAACCGUGUGCUUACAAGUAGUCAGAGCCCGUUAAUGGGUGAUGGCGUGCCUUUUGUAGAAUGAACCGGCGAGUUACGAUUUGAUGCAAGGUUAAGCAGUAAAUGUGGAGCCGUAGCGAAAGCGAGUCUGAAUAGGGCGUUUAGUAUUUGGUCGUAGACCCGAAACCAGGUGAUCUACCCUUGGUCAGGUUGAAGUUCAGGUAACACUGAAUGGAGGACCGAACCGACUUACGUUGAAAAGUGAGCGGAUGAACUGAGGGUAGCGGAGAAAUUCCAAUCGAACCUGGAGAUAGCUGGUUCUCUCCGAAAUAGCUUUAGGGCUAGCCUCAAGUGAUGAUUAUUGGAGGUAGAGCACUGUUUGGACGAGGGGCCCCUCUCGGGUUACCGAAUUCAGACAAACUCCGAAUGCCAAUUAAUUUAACUUGGGAGUCAGAACAUGGGUGAUAAGGUCCGUGUUCGAAAGGGAAACAGCCCAGACCACCAGCUAAGGUCCCAAAAUAUAUGUUAAGUGGAAAAGGAUGUGGCGUUGCCCAGACAACUAGGAUGUUGGCUUAGAAGCAGCCAUCAUUUAAAGAGUGCGUAAUAGCUCACUAGUCGAGUGACACUGCGCCGAAAAUGUACCGGGGCUAAACAUAUUACCGAAGCUGUGGAUUGUCCUUUGGACAAUGGUAGGAGAGCGUUCUAAGGGCGUUGAAGCAUGAUCGUAAGGACAUGUGGAGCGCUUAGAAGUGAGAAUGCCGGUGUGAGUAGCGAAAGACGGGUGAGAAUCCCGUCCACCGAUUGACUAAGGUUUCCAGAGGAAGGCUCGUCCGCUCUGGGUUAGUCGGGUCCUAAGCUGAGGCCGACAGGCGUAGGCGAUGGAUAACAGGUUGAUAUUCCUGUACCACCUAUAAUCGUUUUAAUCGAUGGGGGGACGCAGUAGGAUAGGCGAAGCGUGCGAUUGGAUUGCACGUCUAAGCAGUAAGGCUGAGUAUUAGGCA
RNAcentral lists this ribosomal RNA (1142 nucleotides) under Staphylococcus aureus. Its description in RNAcentral is "partial 23S ribosomal RNA". It matches the Rfam family "Bacterial large subunit ribosomal RNA", at positions 390 to 1538 of the family's 2925-position model. Lineage: Bacteria; Bacillati; Bacillota; Bacilli; Caryophanales; Staphylococcaceae. The record is from RNAcentral.